Molecule: ribosomal RNA, 481 nt
Filed under: uncultured bacterium
Lineage: Bacteria
Description: partial 16S ribosomal RNA
Rfam family: Bacterial small subunit ribosomal RNA
Source: RNAcentral
AACGAACGCUGGCGGCGUGCUUAACACAUGCAAGUCGAGCGGUAAGGCCCCUUCGGGGGUACACGAGCGGCGAACGGGUGAGUAACACGUGAGCAAUCUGCCCUUCACACGGGGAUAACUCCGGGAAACCGAAGCUAAUACCCGAUACGACCACCUCAGGCAUCCGAUGGUGGUGGAAAGUUCCGGCGGUGAAGGAUGAGCUCGCGGCCUAUCAGCUUGUUGGUGGGGUAACGGCCCACCAAGGCAACGACGGGUAGCCGGCCUGAGAGGGUGACCGGCCACACUGGGACUGAGACACGGCCCAGACUCCUACGGGAGGCAGCAGUGGGGAAUAUUGGACAAUGGGCGAAAGCCUGAUCCAGCAACGCCGCGUGAGGGAUGACGGCCUUCGGGUUGUAAACCUCUUUCAGCAGGGACGAAGCGCAAGUGACGGUACCUGCAGAAGAAGCACCGGCCAACUACGUGCCAGCCGCCGCGGUAA